UCAGGACGAACGCUGGCGGCGUGCCUAAUACAUGCAAGUCGAACGGUCUUUCUAUGGAAGCUUGCUUCCACUGAGAAGAUAGUGGCGAACGGGUGAGUAACACGUGGGUAACCUGCCCAUAAGAGGGGGAGUAACUUCCGGAAACGGGUGCUAAUACCGCAUAGUUUUCUUGAUCGCAUGAUUGAGAAAGGAAAGACGGCCUUUGUGCUGUCGCUUAUGGAUGGACCCGCGGCGUAUUAGUUAGUUGGUGAGGUAAUGGCUCACCAAGACGAUGAUACGUAGCCGACCUGAGAGGGUGAUCGGCCACAUUGGGACUGAGACACGGCCCAAACUCCUACGGGAGGCAGCAGUAGGGAAUCUUCCGCAAUGGACGAAAGUCUGACGGAGCAACGCCGCGUGAGUGAAAGAAGGUUUUCGGAUCGUAAAACUCUGUUGUCAGAGAAGAACAAGUUGGAGAGUAACUGCUCCAGCCUUGACGGUAUCUGACCAGAAAGCCACGGCUAACUACGUGCCAGCCGCCGC
Molecule: ribosomal RNA, 522 nt
Filed under: uncultured bacterium
Lineage: Bacteria
Description: bacterial SSU rRNA
Rfam family: Bacterial small subunit ribosomal RNA
Source: RNAcentral